RNAcentral lists this long non-coding RNA (4159 nucleotides) under Homo sapiens (human). Its description in RNAcentral is "HSALNT0327419". The record is from RNAcentral. Lineage: Eukaryota; Metazoa; Chordata; Mammalia; Primates; Hominidae.
CAAGCCUACUGGCUGGGACGGCCUUAUUUCCUAAACCAGGCUUGGAAGCUAUACACCAAUUCAUCAAUAUAGUGUUCAUUCAGUCAUUCUAGAACUAUUUUCAAGGGCUUAACUAUUUGCUAGGCAUGUUCUAGAUGUAGGGUUGGAGAGAACAAGACAACCCCUGUUCUGGUGGAACAUUCUGUUGUGGUGGAGGGGUGAUAGACAAUAAAAUAAGUACGCAAAUAAAUGAAUAAGAUAAUUUAAGGUAAGUGCAGUGAAGGCCAUGAGACAGGGUAAUGUGGUUGGAGUCAGGCUGCCUGGGACAAUUCUAUAACUUACAAAGCAUGAGCAAGUGGUAUAACUUUUGAAGAUCUCAGUUUCCUCAUCUGUAAAAUGGAGGAAUCAUGCCUACAUCAACAGAUUAUUUGUUUUAUAUAAACCCUAGGGCAUUCUAAUAGUUGGAGAUCAAGCAAAGGAAAAAGAGCCAGUAGAAAAGACUAGAAAGCGAAAGUUGGUUUACCAGACCUCUAGAGAAGAACAUGUUACAUGGAGUGUGUGUUCCUCUGUGUCAAAGUUGCCAAGAGCUCAAUGCACAUGACGGAGGUAUGAUGACUGGGUUUUGGCAAGGCGGAGUGACCUCAACAAGAGCAGUUUCAGUAGAGGGGUGGGAAAGAUGUCUGAUUAGCAUGGGUUGAGACAAGACUGUGAGAUGAAGAAAUGGAGACAGCAAUUAUAGAAUACUUAAGUUUGGGGUAAUGGAAAGUUGAAAAAUGCAGCAGCAGUUGGAAAGGAAGCUGGGGUCAAGGGAGGGUUUUUUAUGCAUAGGGUAUUAUGGCAUCUCAGUAUUUUUUGAGGGGAGUGAUCCACUGGAGAGAGAUUAAGUGAUCUAGAGGAAAGAAGAGAUAAUUUCCAGGAGAUUGACAUAUGAAACACUUGAAAAGAUAAAAGGGGAUGGGAUCCAGAGCCCAAGUGUAGAGGUUGGCCUUUCCUAGGUACAGGGAUGCUUCAUCCUGCAUAUAUAAAUGAAGGUAGGUUGGUAGACUCACCUAGGUGGGAAGAUGUGGGAAUUCGUGUCCUAUUACUUCUGUUUUCACUAUGAGGCAACGGUAUUAACUGAGAAUUAGGUGAUGGUAGUGGGAGGAAGUAAAUUACGUAGAUUAGUAAAUUCAGAUAUUUGAGGAGAAAGGAAAGGAUAUGACAUGUUGAAGAAGGGAAGACUAGGGAAAUGUAGAGGCUAGCUAGUCGUGCUGAGAUUAGUGGGGAAGAAUUUAAGAGACCUGUUAGCAUGUGUAUCAGUCAGGACAAAGUAAGCUUUUCCUGCAGCAAUAAAUGACUCCUACAUCUGAGUGACUGGACUUAAAAACGAUCUAUUUCUGACUGGGUGUGGUGGCUCACACCUAUAAUCCCAGCAUUUUGGGAGGCCAGGUGAGAGGAUCACUUGAGACCAGGAAUUCAAGACCAGCCUGGACCACGUAACGAGACCCUGUCUUUACAUUUAAAAGAAAGAUAUAUUUCUUGUUCGUGUAGCAUGUCCAAAAUAAGUUGGCGAGGGUCUCUCAUCUUCUUAGUCUCUCAGGAACCCAGGUGUCAAGGAUCAUAAAGGGGUUGAGAUUUUACCCUACUUGUAAUCUCACAAGUUAGCCCCAAUUCCCACAGGGAGAUAUAAAGAUGCCAAAUGACACCUGCACACACAGUGGGUUGUGUUACAGAAAAAUCCUGCGCUUAGGGAACCCAAAUCUUUUGUAAUAGUCAGUAAGCAUGCCUUACCAUUGCUUUCUUCCAAGGCUGCAAGCAAACCUGCCCUUUGCUCCAGAGGAAGAUAUUAUCUCUGUCUGUCAAGGCUUUUCACUAUACAAACAUCCUUGAAAAGGUAGUAAAGAGCAAAGCCAGUCAGUGCUUUUGCUUGUAAGAUGUGCAGAAAUGUGAGAGACCCAGGGAGAAUUGUGUCCCAAUACCAAGUUGAUGGAGGUACCACCAUCUUGUAACCCCUUCAUUUAAACACAUGGCUUCCAGUGUUGAUAAGGCAGGGAAAAGAGACCUAGAGGGUGACACAGGCUUUUCACUGACUCAGCCCCAAAGUGACAUGCCAUCACUUGUGCUUUCAGUCCAUUGGAUACACCUCAACUAUCCAGGCUGGGUUAUGGGCUUACACAUGUGACCAGGUAGAAGAGAAGAAGCAGAUAUUGAUGAACACUAGCAAUGUCUACUACAGUAUGGCUGUGUGUUUUUCUCCAGUACCAUUUAGCUGUUCAGGUACAGAAACAAAGCAAGUAGCAGUUGGAUUUAAUCUCAGAAUUAGGAUUCUGACCAACUAGUCUAAUGGAGGAAAAGAAUGGUGAGGGAGGUAAGUGUUUGCAUAGAAGUGAUUUCAUAGGUGGACCAUGUGCUAUGGUCUGAAUGUGCAAAAUAAAUUUCUGUUUUUUUAAAAUUACUUAGUGUCAGGUAUUUUGUUAUGGCAGCAAAAACAGACUGGCACCAUGGAAUCUAAACAUGGUAAGGAGGGAAGUAAGGACAUAGAGAUGAAGAAUAUGAAAAAGGGCUAGAACUGUGGACUGGAGGACUUCAUAAGGUUGCAGAAUUUCUGGACUUGGAGAACUAGAGCAGCUGAGCUGAAUGGAUGAGAAGUUGUGGUCAAAGAAUAGGAUUCUGGAAGUCAAGAUUUCAGAGGUAGUGCAGUUUGAGGGAUGAUUAGUUCAGGAAUGUGUCUCUGAAAUUUGAUGGCUAAGGUCAGAUCUGGGGAAGAUUAUUAGAGGUGACAGAGUCAGGGAACUAAGAGGCCAAGGUGUUGGAUUAAUCAUCUGUGAGGAGGUUGAAGUCACCUAGAAUGGUGACAAGAGUAGGGGUAGGAACGAAGAGAAGGAUCCAGGUAAUAGAAAGAAUGAACAUGUGAAUCUGCAUGAGUCUACUCAGGCUGCCACGACAAAGUACAGCAGACUGGAUGGCUCAAACCACAGACAAUUAUUUUCUCACAGUUCUGGAGGCUACAAGUCCAACAUCAAGAUGUUGGAAAAGUUCAAUUCUUCUUAGGCCUCUCUCCUUGGCUUAUAGAUGGCCACCUUCUCCCUGCCUUCACCUGGUCUUCCCUGUGUGUGUGUGUGUGUGUGUGUGUGUGUGUGUGUCCUAAUCUCUCUUCUUAUAGGGACACCAAUCAUUAUCAGAUUGGAGCCCAUUUAUAUGACCUCAUUUUACCUUAAUUACCUCUUUAAAGGCCCUAUCUCCAAAUAUAGUCAACAUUCUGAGGUACUUGGGGUUAGGACUUCAACAUAGGAAUUUUGGAGGGACACAAUUCAGCCCAUAACAAUAUUUCCCAAGAAGAUACUCCUUGGUUGGUCCUUGAUUGGACUUGGCAGUAUCCUGAAAGGUCUUUGCUUCGGCAAAAACUUGGGGAACAUUGAAUGUUAUGAUGGUACCAUUUAAAAAACAAGGAAACCCUUAGGAAACUAAUCCACAACACAUCUACAGAAACCUCUCUUACGGUCCUUUCUGUUUGGAGAUGGUAUGUUAUUGACUCCUACUUAACCUCAAUUCUGGUCUUACCCCUUAUGUUGGGCUGUCCUCUGAGAGCCCUCUACUCCCCUACAUAACAAAAAACUCAAUAAACCCUGGAAUCUUCUCUGUGAUAGUUAAUAAAGCCUACCAUAUGAAUGUGUAUAUGUGUGUGAAAUGUGAUGUUUAUAGUAGAUGUCAAUCUACUUCUAUGUGUUUUUAUAUAAAUGAGAAUAAAACAUUUUAAUCCCCUUUAACUUUGUGUCUGUAUGUAUGAUGGGCUGCAUUUUGAAAUCUUCAUGCAGGCCUGGCCUCGGUAUAGAGUUCUGAAGACAACAGUUUUAUCUCUGUAAGCUGUAGGAGCAUUUGGACUCCUCCCUGCCUAAUCUUGUACAAGGUUUUUUACAAACAAUGCCCCCUGGGAAGUCUAUGGCCGCCUUCUGACCUUCUAAGCCAGAUACCAGGUUACUGACUUCAGGGUGGUCCUCAUGAAUAAUGUUUUGUUUGGGGCCAGGAACAUUUUUAAGGAUGUGAAAGCGCUUGCAGCAUGAGGAGAAAAUGAAAUCUUGAUACUACAGUUUUGUAAGAUAUUGAAGCGAAGUUCCCAUGUCUUAAAUAAAACAGCAAAAUGUGAAAGACUCAAAGCUGUUGUUACAAGGUUUGCCCUAUGAAAUAUGCUUUCUCUUUGGCC